This 463-nucleotide ribosomal RNA is filed under the name uncultured bacterium. RNAcentral's name for it is "bacterial SSU rRNA". It matches the Rfam family "Bacterial small subunit ribosomal RNA", at positions 28 to 507 of the family's 1533-position model. RNAcentral also lists the same sequence under 1 other name. The record is from RNAcentral.
GAUUAACGCUGGCGGCGUGCAUAACACAUUCAAGUCGAACGGACUUUAGCCUUCGGGCUAAAGUUAGUGGCGGACGGGUGAGUAACGCGUGAGCAACCUACCUUCUGAUGGGGGAUAACGUCUGGAAACGGACGCUAAUACCGCAUAAACCGAUGUUAUCGCAUGGUGAUAUCGGCAAAGAGAUAUCGUCAGGAGAUGGGCUCGCGUUGGAUUAGAUAGUUGGCGGGGUAACGGCCCACCAAGUCAACGAUCCAUAGCCGGACUGAGAGGUCGGACGGCCACAUUGGAACUGAGAUACGGUCCAGACUCCUACGGGAGGCAGCAGUGGGGAAUAUUGGGCAAUGGGCGAAAGCCUGACCCAGCGACGCCGCGUGAAGGAAGAAGGUCUUCGGAUUGUAAACUUCAGUAGGCAGGGACGAAGAAAGUGACGGUACCUGCAGAGUAAGCCACGGCUAACUACGUG